Molecule: non-coding RNA, 438 nt
Organism: Cinara cedri
Lineage: Eukaryota; Metazoa; Arthropoda; Insecta; Hemiptera; Aphididae
Source: the annotation of a GenBank genome assembly
ACGUUUAAGUUGGUAAUUUCGCGAGGUUUUCAUUAGGGGUUAGUAGAUACAAUUUUUUUUUCCGGCACACGAUGUUUGCUACUAUACCGCCGUAAAGCCUCUACCCGAUCCGAUGUUCGAAAUCGACAACCACGAGUUGUGCUGCAGUUGAAUUCGACCGGUACAUCGGUUGAAAACCCGAUUUGUAACGAUUUCUUUCGUAUUCCGGAGACGCCGUAUUUAUAGUACAGGCGUUUCUCACUCGAACACUCCCGGACAAAUAGCGGCGUUGAAGAAAACCCGACGUGGACCCGGGCCGGUGCUCGCCCGCUAUAGUUAUCGACCCUUAAAACCCACCGCCGUCCCCGUGCCCGCCGAAAAUUAUUAAUAUCGCCCGACAGGUUUUCUCACGCGCAACACGCCUGUAAUGUGUUAUAAUGCUGUUAUUAGUUUUCCGGC